This is an RNA transcript of Lycium barbarum (goji berry), 3115 nucleotides long. It is a transcript of the gene named probable LRR receptor-like serine/threonine-protein kinase At3g47570, with no coding region annotated. NCBI's taxonomy places the organism in Eukaryota, Viridiplantae, Streptophyta, Magnoliopsida, Solanales, Solanaceae. The transcript has 3 exons. The record is from RefSeq and is a predicted model, not a curated record.
ACACAAUAUCUCCUCGCUACAAUUUCUUAAUCUAUGGGGGAACAAUCUCAAGGGACCCUUACCACGGGAGAUUGGCAACUUAACCAAGAUGCAGGAACUCGAUCUUGGUGAAAAUACGUUUACCGGUGAAAUACCCAAAGAGAUAAGCAAUCUCGUGGAGUUGGACAUCCUUGAUCUGCGUUGAAUAGCUUUAGUGGUUCACUUGCAAUGGAGAUCUUCAACAUGGAGUUAAGGAUCCUUGAUCUUGGGUUUAAUAGCUUUAGUGGUUCACUUGCAAUGGAAAUCUUCAACAUAUCAAGGCUGAGAAAAGUUUAUCUUGGAGACAACAAUCUAGUUGGGUCUAUACCUCAUUCAAUCUCCAAUUGUUCAAAACUUACCUCAUUAGAUCUCUCAUACAACAAACUCACUGGUUUAAUUCCUAACUCCCUUGGAUAUCUUACUCAUCUACAGUUCUUAAACUUGGGGGAAAAUAAUUUAACCAGUGACUCAUCAUUUAGUUUCUUGACCUCCUUAACCAAUUGCAGAAAAAUAACAACUCUUUCUCUAGAGUUCAACCCUCUAGAUGGUGUGCUUCCAGUCUCUAUAGGAAAAUUCUCCACAUCUCUUCUAAAAUUUUAUGCCGGAAGUUGCAAAAUCAAUGGCCAAAUUCCAAAUGAAGUUGGGAACUUAAGUAGCUUAUUAUCCCUUGAUAUUUUUGAAAACAACUUGGUUGGAUCGAUUCCCACAUCAAUUAGCAACUUGACAAACCUUCAGGUCUUGGACUUGAGUGAAAACGCUCUAACAGGAUUUAUUGGAGAUAGUGUAUGUAAAUUGCAGAGAUUGGGUAACAUUUACUUUGGUCAAAAUCAACUUUCAGGAUCUCUUCCAAAUUGUUUAGGGAACGUUACUUCGCUUAGAGAGAUACAUCUGCGUUCCAAUAAAUUGAAUUCCAAUAUACCAACAAGCAUAGGGAAUCUUAAAGAUCUUGUGGUUCUUGACUUAUCGUCAAACAACAUGGGUGGCUCUUUACCUGCAGAAAUUGGAAAUCUAAAGGUUGCGAUACAAAUGGAUCUGUCAAUGAAUCAAUUCUCAAAUGGAAUUCCUAGAGAAAUUGGAGGAUUACAAAAUUUGCAGAAACUUUCUUUGAGACACAACAAGUUGCAAGGAUCCAUACCUGACUCAAUGAGCAACAUGAUAGGUUUGGAAUUUUUAGACGUUUCUCAUAACAAUAUAACGGGAAUCAUUCCCAAAUCCCUGGAGAAACUUCAAAAUCUCAAGUAUUUCAAUGUUUCUAUCAACAAAUUGUAUGGUGAAAUACCCUCGGGAGGUCCUUUCAAGAACCUUUCAAGUCAGUUUUUCAUCUACAAUGAAGCAUUGUGUGGUUCUUCGAGAUUUAAUGUCCCACCAUGACCCACUUCAUCAAAGCAUAGAUCAAAUGGGAAAAAAUUGCUAGUUCUAUUUCUUAUGAUGGGAAUUGCACUUGUAUUUGUUCCUACUUCCCUUGUGCUCGUGUGGAUAAGGUAUAGAGGAAGUAAAAGAGCACCUCAGCAAGUUGAUUCAUUGUCUACCGCAACAAGAGGAAGAAUUUCAUACUAUGAAUUGCUCGAAGCAACUGAUGCGUUUAGCGAGAGUAAUCUGAUUGGUUUCGGGAGUUUUGGCUCUGUCUACAAAGGAAUUCUCAGAAGUGGGACUACUAUUGCAGUUAAAGUGUUCAAUCUGCAAUUGGAAGUGUCAUUCAAGCAUUUUGAUACAGAAUGUGAAAUUUUGCGUAGCAUUCGCCAUAGGAAUCUAGUAAAAGUCAUCACUAGUUGUUCCAACCUUGAUUUUAAGGCUUUGGUGCUCGAGCAUAUGCCUAAUGGGAGUCUUGAGACGUGUUUGUAUACACACAACUAUUUCUUAGACAUCUUGCAGAGACUAAGCAUAAUGAUAGAUGUGGCAUGUGCGUUGGAAUAUCUCCACCAUGGGUGCUCACUGCCCGUGAUUCACUGUGAUCUGAAGCCUAGUAAUGUCUUGCUCGAUGAGGAUAUGGUUGCCCACCUAAGCGACUUUAGUAUUUCAAAAGUGCUUGGUGAAGAUGUGAGUAAUUUAUACACUAAAACCUUAGCAACAUUUGGUUAUAUUGCACCGGAAUAUGGACUAGAUGGAUUGGUGUCAGCAAAAUGUGAUGUCUAUAGUUACGGGACCAUGUUGAUGGAGACGUUUACAAGGAGGAAGCCUAAUGAUGAAAUGUUCGAGGGAGAUCUUAGCUUGAAGCAAUGGGUGAGUAAUUCACUUCCAGAGGCAGUAAUGGAUGUUGUAGAUGCUAACUUGGUAACACCAAAUGAUAGUUACUUGAAGUUAGAUUGUGUGGCAUCGAUCAUGAAAGUGGCAUUAGAUUGUUGUGUUGAAUCUCCGGCAAGAAGGACAAACAUGAAAGAUGUCAUAGGGAUGCUACAAAAGACCAGGAUUCAACUUCUCGCAUGUUGAACAUGUUCUUCAAAACUCUUGUUCCCAAGUACUUGUUUUGUUGCAAAUGCUUGCUAAAAUAUUGUAUCGAUGUGAAGAAUGUAUUUUUAUUUUAGCACUUUUGAAAUCCUAAUUACAAUAAAUCUUAUUAAUUCCUCUUAAAAUCAAUGUUCUAAAUUGGUAGAUCACAAUCAAUAGAGGAAAAAUAAUUCUUUCUAUUUCCUGCUUUUUGGAUGUGUUCAGUGUUGUGCAACUUCUUCCAUUAUGUUUUAGCACCUCUAAACAUUUUUGUGAGGAUAUGAACAGUUAAUAAGAGAUGGGGCAUCUGAUAUUUAUCGAUUUCACUGGAAAUUUAGUAGGCAAUUUGGAGUAACAUUUUUGUUUGUUUGUUUUAUACUUAGCGAGUUCCAUCAGCAAAUAAAUCUAAUACCAAACGUCGAGCGCUUUGUGGGAACUAAUUCACAAUGAGUUCAAAUGGGUUCUAGGCAAAUUCAUUAUCAGUGGCAAAAAUUUAACAUUAACUAAUUGGUUUAUCCAAUACACUUAAAAAAAAAAAAAAAAAAAAAGAACUUCUCUAGAAAACACAACAUUUAGGAGUAGUUCAUAAUUGAAUCGUUGAAAGACAUAUAGUGUGUAUAUAAUAAGUUGGGCUCUACCCUUCCCGCCCACCUCAUUAAUAUUUGAAAGGAAG